AGAUUUGCCUAUGAGUACCAGUGCCACUUGCCAGCGUGUCCUCCUCUGUGUGUGCAAGUGUGAGGGUCAGCAACAUCAAAUCAACAACCACCCACACACAAGUCUGAAUCAGCUGUCUACUCAACCAUCUAAGGGGGAAAACACUCUGAUGUCAGUCAGACCAUCAAGACUGAGCUUUGCAAACCAAGAGCCACUCUUUAGGUCACCAGCAGCGGUCAGCGAUCUGACCGGGUCUCUGGUCUGGACAGCAGCCCUCUUGACAGAGGAACACACACACCAAGAGCAUGUCUGACCAGUGUACCAAGGCAGUCAGAUUCACAAUGAGCUCUGCUGCUAAAGAAGCCAUCCUUUGGGGGUCAAGUGUCAGUGGGAGGUCUGAUCGGUUGUCUUGGGAAGUCAUUAUGAACCUACCUGGACAAGGAAUUGUACCAGGUGGUCAUUUGACAUGUUCUCCAAGACAACCUGACUGAGAAGCGAUGCCUAAGUCCUCCUUCUCUGUCUCCUUUUCAAUUGUUUUUUUUUUGACGUCAUAUACAAAAUAUUUAAAAUAUAUAAAAUGUAUCUGAGUUAUCAGAUUAUAAUUAAAUUAGAGGAGGGUAUAAUGUACUCUAUCUCUAAUGCCAGGAUAAACUCAGAGGAUUUAGACAGUCCCCUGCAUCAGAGGACUCAAGCAAUGAGAUGGAAUGGGUAUGUUCACCUGCAUAACGCACACACCCCAGUUUGACCAGAGAUCUGUCAGAUAAAAUAGUUUCCACUUUUCAAACAGUUUGAAUCUGAGCGCCCAAUUACAUUUCCCAUACUAAAGCAGGCAACUAGAGAUGAACAUGAGGACAUCACCAACAUGCUGGAGGGACUGCAUCUGAGUGAGGAGAUGGAGUGGACACCUCAGACGGAUCCUGUAGAUGACGCCACCCAGAGGGCUGACAGACCUCAGCUGAAUCACUAUGAGGAGGAGAUGGACUGGGCAUGACGGGGUAAGUCAAACACAUUCUUCAUUCCAAACAGCUCAUUCUAAAACAGUUUUGUUCAGUUGCACGACAAUAAUAAUAAAUAAAAAAAAGUCUAUGUAGAAUAUUGGCCUAUACAUUGUCUGCAUCUUUAGAAACCAUAUUUUACAGGCGCCUAAGGAUUCUUCCAGUGACUUGGCAGAACGUCUGCAGUGCCUGCCGAUGGGAGCGGAGGGAGAGGAGAUGGAAAAUGCCGAGCGUGACUGUGGUGUUCCCUAUUUUCACCGUUUGAAAGACCAGCAGAUCACAUCUCCAGUGGACUGUAAAUAAUGUAUUUAAAAGUGUAAAUUGUACAUCUGACACUGUGAACCAUAUUGCUGAGUUUAAAACGGCUCUAGUAGCCUCUGGGCUCUCAUGCUCACAGUGACUUUUCCUGCUUGUGAAUUAUAACCUAUGAUUUGAUGAUGUUUGUUUUUAUAAUGUAUAUAUGUGCAUGUAUGUAUGUUUACUAAUAGACGGGUGGUGGUGGUGGUUGUACUGGAUCAAAGUAAAUGUGACAUACAUCACUUCA
This is a long non-coding RNA of Alosa sapidissima (American shad), 1518 nucleotides long. RefSeq lists it as uncharacterized. Lineage: Eukaryota; Metazoa; Chordata; Actinopteri; Clupeiformes; Clupeidae. The record is from RefSeq and is a predicted model, not a curated record. The transcript has 4 exons.